GGCUGGUCCGAUGGCAGUGGAUUAUCAGAACUUAUUAACAUUAGUGUCACUAAAGUUGGUAUACCACCACCACCCCCCCCACACACUGCUAAAUUUGACUGGCUUAAA
Unclassified non-coding RNA from Cavia porcellus (domestic guinea pig), 108 nucleotides. It matches the Rfam family "Y RNA". From Rfam's summary of the family: Y RNAs are components of the Ro ribonucleoprotein particle (Ro RNP), in association with Ro60 and La proteins. The Y RNAs and Ro60 and La proteins are well conserved, but the function of the Ro RNP is not known. The record is from Ensembl. NCBI's taxonomy places the organism in Eukaryota, Metazoa, Chordata, Mammalia, Rodentia, Caviidae.